GACGGGGGGGGCAAGCGUUCUUCGGAAUGACUGGGCGUCAAGGGCACGUAGGCGGUGAAUCGGGUUGAAAGUGAAAGUCGCCAAAAAGUGGCGGAAUGCUCUCGAAACCAAUUCACUUGAGUGGGACAGAGGAGAGUGGAAUUUCGUGUGUAGGGGUGAAAUCCGUAGAUCUACGAAGGAAGGCCAAAAGCGAAGGCAGCUCUCUGGGUCCCUACCGACGCUGGGGUGCGAAAGCAUGGGGAGCAAACAGG
RNAcentral lists this ribosomal RNA (251 nucleotides) under uncultured bacterium. RNAcentral's name for it is "partial 16S ribosomal RNA". It matches the Rfam family "Bacterial small subunit ribosomal RNA", at positions 524 to 776 of the family's 1533-position model. The record is from RNAcentral.